GACGAUUGCUUUCAGAGUCUUGUUCUGCAAGUCAAUGUCACAUUUGAGGCGUAAAAUAUAUCAUUUGUUACUGAAUUACUUUCAAAGAUUUAGGGAUGCUUCUGCAUCCAUACUGACAUGGUUGCAUCCGCGGAAUCCUCAAGGGAUAUUGGCCAUGGUAACAAUAAUUGCUUUUCUUUUGAAACGGUGCACGAAUGUGAAAUUGAGGGCUGAGAUGGCUUACAGGAGGAAAUUUUGGAGGAAUAUGAUGAGAACUGCAUUGACAUACGAAGAGUGGGCACACGCUGCGAAGAUGCUUGAUAAAGAGACACCAAAGAUGCAUGAAUCAGACCUUUAUGAUGAAGAACUAGUGAGAAAUAAACUUCAGGAGCUCCGACACCGUCGACAGGAGGG
This 393-nucleotide unclassified non-coding RNA is filed under the name Hevea brasiliensis (rubber tree). The record is from RNAcentral. Lineage: Eukaryota; Viridiplantae; Streptophyta; Magnoliopsida; Malpighiales; Euphorbiaceae.